AUGUUAUCAAGAAAGGUAGAGGGAUUAGACCCAGAGAAACCUUGGCAACCCUUUAUCUUGUAAAGAAGGUGCUACGUUCUACUGCUUGUGCUGAGUUUAUUUCAGGAAUCAAUCAGACAGAUAACGA
RNAcentral lists this non-coding RNA (127 nucleotides) under Tamlana sp. RNAcentral's name for it is "SAM-I sequence". It matches the Rfam family "SAM riboswitch aptamer (S box leader)". From Rfam's summary of the family: The SAM riboswitch is found upstream of a number of genes which code for proteins involved in methionine or cysteine biosynthesis in Gram-positive bacteria. The SAM riboswitch acts at the level of transcription termination control. Lineage: Bacteria; Pseudomonadati; Bacteroidota; Flavobacteriia; Flavobacteriales; Flavobacteriaceae. The record is from RNAcentral.